GGGCCCGCACAAGCGGUGGAGUAUGUGGUUUAAUUCGAUGCAACGCGAAGAACCUUACCAGGGUUUGACAUCCUGCGAAUCUCUUGGAAACGAGAGAGUGCCUUCGGGAACGCAGUGACAGGUGGUGCAUGGCUGUCGUCAGCUCGUGUCGUGAGAUGUUGGGUUAAGUCCCGCAACGAGCGCAACCCACGUCUUUAGUUGCCAGCAUUUAGUUGGGCACUCUAGAGAGACUGCCGGUGAUAAACCGGAGGAAGGUGUGGAUGACGUCAAGUCAUCAUGCCCCUUACAUCCUGGGCUACACACGUGCUACAAUGGGCGGUACAAAGGGCUGCGAUGUCGCGAGGCGGAGCCAA
This 353-nucleotide ribosomal RNA is filed under the name uncultured bacterium. RNAcentral's name for it is "bacterial SSU rRNA". It matches the Rfam family "Bacterial small subunit ribosomal RNA", at positions 917 to 1271 of the family's 1533-position model. The record is from RNAcentral.